Long non-coding RNA from Oncorhynchus keta (chum salmon), 2182 nucleotides. RefSeq lists it as uncharacterized. The transcript has 2 exons. NCBI's taxonomy places the organism in Eukaryota, Metazoa, Chordata, Actinopteri, Salmoniformes, Salmonidae. The record is from RefSeq and is a predicted model, not a curated record.
GUCCCGCCCUGUCAGCUCCCCUGGAAACCUCUUCCCCUGAGCUGAAGAUCCAAAUCAUGUGUUUCUUCACUUUUACUUUGCACACUAAUAUUUGUGGUCACCCUCCCCUUACAUUUCAUGAAGAGAGGGUGAACCUGUGAAAUGUCAAUGCGGAAUCUGGAUGCCAAACAUUUGAUCUCAAUGAAUUUCAUGGGAAGACACAUUUGAAUUAUGUACAGUGUUGUUUCGAAGUUCAGUGUUUUAUUUGAAUUAUGUACAGGGAGCGAAUUUUAGAGCAGAUGGUGUUUUGCCUAGUGACGCGCUGUUGAGCUUUCACCACGAGAGAAAAAUGCUAAGAUUCUCACAAUCAUCCUACAUCUCAUAAGAAAUUAGGUGGUGUUUUUUGUCUUGCAGUGACGUUAUACCAUGCUAUUAUUUUCAGUUCUGUUAUAUAGAAUACUAUCAUUAUGUGAUCUUGCUGACACAGAUUCAGUCUUGAUUUAACUUAAACAAGCAUCAUUCUCCAUUUCUAACAGACAUUUGCCGAAGUAGCCUUUUCUUCGGGGCUACUAAACUAGUAAAGCAGAGACUGUGUGUAAAGGAGAGUAUCCCACACAUGCGCUGAAGCACGGAAAAUGGUUCUAGAGAAUUCGGAUAUGCAGCCACUCUGUAUUUUGAAACUUCUCUUAACGGUCUCAAGGGUACAAAAAUGUACAUUAAAUUAUAAAAAGACUGACAUUGUUAGGGCCACGCAACAGGAACCGGCGACCAUCGCACCACGUUGUAAAGAUGAGCAUGUCAAGUGGGACUAGGACAGUCAAAACUGGGGAUGACGAGACAACACUGCUAUUCUUAGCUCUUUUGUUCAGUGUUGAGAGAAGAGUUGGGACCCUACUAUCACCUCCACUACCACCCUAUAACCAGGCCACGAACGCCAGACUGCCAGCCACCAAAGUAGUUCUCAUUAUUACGAGAUGUGGAAGAUCAAACGUAAGUGGCGCCACCAUUUUGUGGCAUGCAUGCUCUUUCACAUCCAGUCAAAACGAAAAUAACAAAAUGACUGCAUAUGGCAAGUUGUUUUUCCCUACACACACAGGCUACAGUUCAGCAUGGCUGAGAGACAUUUCCAGCCAGGCAACUAAUAGAACUAGGUAGAACUCACACCUUAAAUUCCUUUGCGUUACGAUUUUGAUUAGAGAUUAACAAUAUAAAAUGCCACUGUACUGCAUUCCUGAUGUAAAACUUCUCUUACAGCCCCCAUCACGUACGCUUUGGAAGCAAAGUACAGGCCCUAUCUUGAGGGUAACUAAGGAAUAAGCUAUGUGGAUGGAAGCCAUCGCAGCCUUGAAAUGCUUUCAAACAUCUGGUCGGACAACAAGGCCGUGUAUCGUGUUCACUAGGCACCGGAUGGACUGAAACAGGGAGGGAUUUCCUGGCCUUGCCCCAGGAAAUUCCAGACUGACCUGGAAUUUGAAUUGAAUUAAAUGGAAUGUACAGGGAGCGUGAAAGAUAUGAAAAUGCAAUUUGUGGAAUUGACACCAACCCUUGUACAAUGUGAUACUUUAUCCUCAACUGCAAUUAAAACUAAAUGUAAUUGAGCUCAUUAACUCCAUCAGUUUAAGUUUAUAUAAGUUUUAGGCUUUUAGUUUACAUUUUCAGAAUAAGAAUAUCUGGGCUGCUAUCAAUUAACAAUCUUGAGGACUCCAAGCAAAAGCAAUCAAUGCCCAUCCAUGCUCCUUCUCACACAGUAGUUUGAAGUAACAUUGUAAUGGUACGUGGUGUAAGAAAGAGGAUAUACUAAUUCAGUGGUGCACAGCAUCCCUGCACAAACCAAUCAGACCUAUAGCAAACAUGAUUGAUUGACACUUCUCCGUUCAGCUCUGGACCAAUUGGCAGAGGAGUUGCCAGGGAAGCUGUACUCAAGGGCCGAACUGUCACAUGAAAAAGAAGACAAGGGAGUGACCGUGGGAGACCCUUCCCUUUCCCAAUGGGGUGGCCCGUGACUGGCCUGACACCAGAGCUGUAUGGUCAGUGCUGCUCUUUAAGUGCCUGCCAGUGUUCCCUUCUUUACAACCUAAACAAUUUAUUGUGUGUAUUGUGUUUGCCUUUUUAUGCAGAAAGAUUAUUUGUACAAUGAAAAAUAUCAAAAUAUAAUUUAUUAUUAUGUUCCAGAUGUUAGUGUGGUAAUAAAAACUGCUCUAGG